GCGCGAAAACUUUACAAUGCUGGCAACAGCGAUAAGGGAACCUCGAGUGCCAGGUUACAAAUCUGGCUGUCGAGAUGCAUAAAAAGCAUUUCAUAGCAAGGGCCGGGCAAGACCGGUGCCAGCCGCCGCGGUAACACCGGCGGCUCGAGUGGUAACCGUUAUUAUUGGGUCUAAAGGGUCUGUAGCCGGCCGGAUAAGUCUCUUGAGAAAUCUGGCAGCUUAACUGUCAGGCUUUCAGGAGAUACUGUCUGGCUCGAGGCCGGGAGAGGUGAGAGGUACUUCAGGGGUAGGUGUGAAAUCUUGUAAUCCUUGAAGGACUACCAGGGGCGAAAGCGUCUCACCAGAACGGACCUGGCGGCAAGGGACGAAAGCUAGGGGCACGAGCC
RNAcentral lists this ribosomal RNA (386 nucleotides) under uncultured prokaryote. RNAcentral's name for it is "bacterial SSU rRNA". It matches the Rfam family "Archaeal small subunit ribosomal RNA", at positions 339 to 725 of the family's 1478-position model. The record is from RNAcentral.